Molecule: non-coding RNA, 1240 nt
Organism: Cricetulus griseus (Chinese hamster)
Lineage: Eukaryota; Metazoa; Chordata; Mammalia; Rodentia; Cricetidae
Source: RefSeq, a predicted model, not a curated record
GAGCCCAGCCCCGAACGCACGGUGAGCGGCGCGGAGACAAGAGGGCGGAAGUGUGCGCACUCUGGUUUUUAUUUUAGCCUGGACCCGGCGGCGGCGCGACAGCCAAGCCUUCACCUUUGAAGGGGACCCGGGGGCGGCAAGAUGUCAACCUCUGCUGCCUCCCUGCCUCAUCUUGGCCUCCGCUUCUCCCCUUUCCACCGUUGGAACCCAGAGCUCAGGCCGUCCUGGGGACAGAGUUCCCGGCCUCCAUCCCCACCCCAAGCAGAAGCCUGCUGUGAGGAAGGCGAGUGGGAAUGGGACCCCUGGAGGAAAGAGGCCUGGAAGCUGCCUGAAGCCCCCUCCUCAGCCUCCCCGCCUGCUCCUCCAGGACACUUAGCAGCCAGCAUUGUGGUGGAGGAAGGGUCUCCAAGACUCUGGGCACCCCGUAUGAGGGUGUAGUGACUCCCAGACCACACGUUCCUCCUCUUCCCAGGGCCACCCGGAAAGGCUCUCCUCACCAGGACAUGUCUGUCUCAGUAGUUGGACAACAGUGACAUUGGUGAAGACGACGUCACGUUUCGACAUGGCCUAAGGUCUCAUGGCCUGGCUGCCUUGGGCCCCUCCGAGAUGGUAUUGAGGGGAGUGUGCUGGAGGUUGAGUCCAGGUCCCAUAUGCUAACCUUGUGAAUGCCGUGGAGCCACACCCCAGCGUACACACUCCUUAAUUAAAAAAAAAAUACAUGACAUGCCAGGCACAUGCCUUUAAUACCAGCACUCAAGAGGCAAAGGGUCACCCUGAAGGGCUCUCCUCACCAGGGCAUGGCUGCCUCAGUAGCUGGACAACAGUGACAUUGGUGAGGACGACGUCACGUUUCGACAUGGCCUAAGGUCUCAUGGCCUGGCUGCCUUGGGCCCCUCCGAGAUGGUAUUGAGGGGAAUGCUGGAGAUCGAAUCCAGGUUCUCAAACAGGCUAAGCAUGUGCUCUUCCGUGGACCCACGCCCCAGCCCACACAUACCUUGUGCUAUGACUGUUGACAACUGCUCCGGACCAUCUGUGCUGCUGAAGAAAUGGAGCCAGACCACGUGUGGACAGAAGCUUGGCACAGAGGUUCAAUCUGUCAAAAAUGCCAUGUCAACAAUCUCAGCUCUUGGGAGGCUGAUGCAGGAGGAUUUCUGUGAAUUUGAGGCUGACCUGGACUACAUAGGGAAACCCUGUAUCAAAGCAAACAAAGAAAGGGCUGGAGAGCUGGCUCACUGGCUAA